RNAcentral lists this ribosomal RNA (439 nucleotides) under uncultured bacterium. RNAcentral's name for it is "bacterial SSU rRNA". It matches the Rfam family "Bacterial small subunit ribosomal RNA", at positions 355 to 796 of the family's 1533-position model. The record is from RNAcentral.
UAAGGAAUAUUGCGCAAUGGGCGAAAGCCUGACGCAGCGACGCCGCGUGGGGGAUGAAGGUCUUCGGAUUGUAAACCCCUUUCGGGAGGGAAGAUGGAACGAGCAAUCGUUCGGACGGUACCUCCAGAAGCAGCCACGGCUAACUUCGUGCCAGCAGCCGCGGUAAUACGAAGGUGGCAAGCGUUGUUCGGAUUUACUGGGCGUACAGGGAGCGUAGGCGGUUCGGUAAGCCCUCUGUGAAAUCUCCAGGCUUAACCUGGAACAGUCGGAGGGGACUGCCGGGCUAGAGGACGGGAGAGGAGCGCGGAAUUCCCGGUGUAGCGGUGAAAUGCGUAGAGAUCGGGAGGAAGGCCGGUGGCGAAGGCGGCGCUCUGGAACGUUUCUGACGCUGAGGCUCGAAAGCGUGGGGAGCAAACAGGAUUAGAUACCCCUGUAGUCC